GCACUGCUGACGAGUCCCAAAUAAGACAAAACAGCUGUCCAGUGC
Molecule: non-coding RNA, 45 nt
Organism: Echinostoma caproni
Lineage: Eukaryota; Metazoa; Platyhelminthes; Trematoda; Plagiorchiida; Echinostomatidae
Source: Rfam